RNAcentral lists this long non-coding RNA (5116 nucleotides) under Sus scrofa (pig). Its description in RNAcentral is "lncRNA (ENSSSCG00000052242.1)". The record is from RNAcentral. Lineage: Eukaryota; Metazoa; Chordata; Mammalia; Artiodactyla; Suidae.
UUGCAUAUUGUGCUAACCUCAGCUCACGGCUCUCAUGGCUGUGCUGCCUCACAAACUCACUGGUUACCUCCUGCCCAAGAGGGAGCCCUGGCCCUGAAAAAUGAAUCUAAGUGACAAAAACUAGGGUCUCUUCCUCUAAUCUCCUCAGUGCCCGGUAAUGACUUUCUAUACCGUCUCCAAAUGGGGUUGUUUUGUUAUUCCGACAGUCUUGGACGCUACUGGACGUGGCUAACUGUGGCUGAAUGUUGUGGAAAGAGACAAAUGCAUUCUGCCUGUUUUCUUACCAGUGGGCUCAGUGAAUUUCGCAUGAAACAACUUCUUGUGGUAUGUGAUUUCUAAAGGAAGGGGGAAUAGUUUCCCUCAAAAUAAUGGCUCUACUGCUUCCUCCUAAAACGUGCAUUUCACAAGACCAGAGAAAGUGUAGGUAAAAUAUCUAAGAUGGCUUUGGAAUCUUACAGAUUUGGAUGUAAAUACCACUUUAAUUAUUUCCUGAUCAUUGGAAGUUUUGAAAGAUGUGGAAAUUUAGAAAGUUCUUAGGGAUUUCUUAUCUGGUAUGAUACACUUUUGAUUUUUAUUUAUUUUGUUUGAUUUUAAAAUCACAGAUGAAAAGUAUAGCUGUUGUAAUAAGUCUUAACACUAGAAAUAUUCCCAAAGAAAAUAAACAGUUUUAACUCAAGCAACCCUUUUCACCUGGGCCUCCACUCCAAAUAGGCACGUGGAUGUAGCCAACAUUAUCUGUGUGGUGUCUGUCCUUCUCGUGCUUCUAAAUUUACAUACACAUAACAAAAAUCAUACAUAGCUAUUUUUUAUCAUCCUUGUUUUCUGAUAAAAUUGUAUCAUGUAUCAUGAUAUCAACAGGGACAAUUCACACACCUCUCCAACACAUUCCCUUCACUUAACUUUCACAUCCUUCUCAGGAACCAUUCUGAUUUAACAGUUCUAAAACAUCAUCAAAUCUAGAAGUUUUGCAAUUUAUUUGAAUACAGUUUCUUUAUGAAAAAAUCAGAUUUUCCCCUUUACGUUUUUUAACCAUGAAAAAUGAUCCUGAAAUAAACAUUCUUAGAGUGAUAUUCUUAAGUUCUGUUGCCUUAUUUCAGCAUGGUGAUUUUUUUUUUUUUUUUUUGCUUUUUAGGGCUGCACCUGCAGCAUAUGGGAAGUUCCCAGGCUAGGGGUUGAACUGGAGCUACAGCUGCUGGCCUACGCCACAGCCAUAGCAACACAGGAUCCAAGCUGUGUCUGCAACCUACACCACAGCUCACAGCAACGCCAGAUCCUUAACCCAGUGAGCAAGGCCAGGGAUUGAACCUGCAUCCUCAUGGAUGCUAGUCAGAUUUGUUUCCCCUGAGCCACAAUGGGAACUCCCAGUAUGGUAAAUUUUAGAAGUGCAAAUGCUGAGUUCAAAGAUUGUAAAGAAUUUAAUAUUUCUGUUUAUUGCCAGAUAACCUGCAAAAAAAUUGGUCGUGAUCUAUAUAUCCAUCACCAGUGUAUGAGAGAAUCCAUUUUUCCACAUACUCGCUGACUUUGUUAUUAAUUUAAUUAAAUUAAUUAAUUAAUUUUUUUGGCCAUGCCACUGCAGUGGCAAUGCCAGAGGGAACACUGAGCCAUGAGGGAACUCCUUAAUCUUUUUAAUUUUUGCCAACUUGAUGAUUAAAAAUAGUAUCUUGUUUGAAUUUGCAUUUCCAAAAAUCUAAAGUGUAUGAUGGGAUUUUUCACAGAAAGUUCACAUAGAGGUGCUCUGUAAAUAAGAGUGAUGGCAAGAAAUCUUGUUUAGAAUACAAUUCUCCAGAGAGAGAAAACAUACUUGCUCGAAUUCCUUUUUUGAAUUCUAGAUGAGAACUGGGCACGUGAAAGGCAGAUUAUAUAGGGUGUAGAAGCCCAGUAGAGAGAUGUUGUCGGGACAAGCUUGGGGAAUUUUAUUUUCCCCCACAAUAUUUCAGUCCUGCUGGCAACAUUAGACAAACUCACACUCUGGACCACAUUUGGCCUUGUCCUCAGAUAGCACUGGCCUUACCCUCUGAUGGCAGGUUAGUCAGCCUGUUCAAACAUAUUUUCAACAAGUAAUAUGACAGCAGUGGCCCAGGGUUGUUUGUGAACUUUGUGUCACAAAUCCAAAUGCAGUAAUUUAAAAAAAUAAAAUUACUUCAUGUAUUUCAUAUGCUUUCCCUGCUGAUUUACUAAUGCUUCAUAUGCAAGAGAAAUCAAAACAAUGAGUUCAUGUCCCAAAAAUAAAAGCACUGCCUUCUUCACAGACGGCAGGCUUAUGCUAAUUAAGACUCAGCACACACUUUAUCUUAAGCACAUAUGGAUUUGAGUCAAUAAGGAAAGAUGAUUUGCAGAAUUGCAGUUCAGAGGUUAGAUGAACUCUUUCAAACUGUAAUGAGAAAUGCACACACCCUCAUUUGAUAUAUGUUAGCAAUGAAAUAUUGUCAAGUUCCGGAUUUGCAUGGCAAAUGGCAAUAACAACAGAACGAUGACUUGAGCUCUUAUUUGGGCCAAGUACAUUUUUAAUUCUAUUUUAAAAUUAUGUCAUAUAAUCCUCGUUACAACAUCACAAAUUAGAGGCAAUUGUUUACCUCCUUCCUCCCAUUUUACAAAGUAAGAGAAGGUUAGAUCUCUUACCCAAGGUUAACAGGAGUGGAAGGUAGAGGAGGCCUGGUUUGAAUACAGAAAGUCUGAGUUUGAGACCAAGCACUUCAUUUUUUUAUUAAUUAAAGUUCAGUUUAAGAUGUUUUGCCAAUUUCUGCUGUACAGCAAAGUGACUCAGUCAUACAUACAUAUGGAUUCUUUUAUAUAUAUAUAUAUUAUUUUCCAUCAUGAGACCAAGUACAUCUUUGUUAACUGGUCCAAGUUACCAACUAAUGAGCAGUAGUGAUAUGACCACCACCACACACAGCCCCCUCCCCCCAAAUACAGUAAAGGUUAAGUAAAUUGCCAAUAACCAAGAUUAGUGCUUAAAAUGGCAAUAUUGGGACAUCAGUCUCAUUCAAGAAAUCCAUAAAUUAAUUCUAUAGCCUAGUUUCAAAGAACAGGAUUAAAAUCUAAAGUCACAUCUUGUCAUGAAACCUCCUGAUUGUAUCCAUUUAGUGUCUAGUUAGGAAUGAAACUGCAUAAGUUAUUUUAACAGAGAUAAUAUAAGGAUUGAUUAACAGAUUGUUAAUAGAACUCAAAAUGCUUAGAGGGAACAUAGAGGUAUCCCAGAAAAAGUUACUUCAAGAAGCAGCUGUGGAGGGUAGGACCUUGGAGGAGGAACACUGAAGAACUGGGAUACAGACCCCGGGAGUGGGGUGCCAGCUGACAAGGGCUGGUAUUUCUAAGGCGUAUUGAGGCUAGUUUUGGCAUAUGAAGAAACCGCAGAUAGAUACCCACUGCUUCCACCUGCUGCGAGGGGGAAGAAAGAAUAGCUGCUAUAGUGAGAUUGAUAGGAAUAGGGAGAAAGGAGGAAGAUACAAUUGUUUUUUCCCUCCUCCACCCUUCCUGUCACCCUCAAAAGCCCCUAUUGAGAGAAACUAAUGGGGACCUGUGUGAAAAAAUGAAAAUGAGGUUUGCAGAGUUUCAGCUCUAGCACUGCAAAGCUGAGUUGAAGCUGAGAGAUAAAUGCUUAAAAUCCAGCACAAUCUUCCCUUUCAACUACUUGAUAACAUUUCACAUCCUGUUAUACAUAUUUCAACUACCAUACAAUGAUAAUUUUAUGCUUCCACUUAACAAGAUGCAACCUCUUUCUUAAAAAAAAAGGAAAGAAAAAAAAAGUUCUAAGCCUCUCCUUAAAGUGAGGAGAAAAAGAAAUUCAUUAGCAGAAAAUAUUUUAAAGUUAACUAAUUAAUUAAUUAGGAGUUCCCUUUGUGGCUCAGCAGAAAUGAACCUGAGUAGUAUCCAUGAUGAUGUGGGAUUGAUACUCAUGGAUAAUACAUGGAUUUGUGGGUCUGGCCUUGCUCAAUGGGUUAAGGAUCCAGCUUUGUCAUGAGCUGUCAUGUAGGUCACAGACAUGGCUCAGAUCUGGCAUUGCUAUGGAUGUGGCUUAGGUCAGCAGCAGCUCUGAUUCAGCCCCUAGCUCAGGAACUUCCAUAUGCUGCAAUUACAACCCUAAAAAUAAAUAAAUAAAUAAAAAUAAUGAAUUAAUGUUUUAUAUAUAAACUGUUUGUUUCUCAUACUUUUGGAAUCUGGAAAGCCCAAAAUCAAGGUGUUGGUAGAUCCAGUAUCUUAUGAGGGUCAACUUUCUUGCUUGUAGCUGGCCAUGUAUAUCUUCACAUGAAGGAGAGCAGAGAGAAGUAGCAGGCACUUGUAUCUCUUCUUAUAAGGGCACUGAUUUCAUUCAUGGGCACUCCACCCUUGCAAACUUUUUUGCCUUCUAAAGUCCCUGUCUUGUAAUAUCAUUACAUUAGGUGUUAAUAUUUCAAUGUAUGAAUCUGUUGAUAAGGCAAGCUCCUGUUGUUGUUUCUUGAUUGAUUGUCUAAGAGCAGAAAAAUUUCUCAUGAUUGAUAAGCAAAGAUUAGAGCUGUUUGUUAAAGUAAUUAUCCUGAAACUAUCCACAGGGAAAAAUAUUUCCUUUUAGAUAACUGACUGUGACUUCCCCAGCCUACAGAACAACCCCAACUGUAAACCACCCAUGGGCAACCUGUUUAACACACCUGAUAAAAGUCUAAGGGAAAAUCAUGAGGCUGAGCCACUCUGAUCUUUGAAACUGAGAUACUCUGUUGUAAUAACCUGAGAAAACCACUAUUGUUACUUCUCUGGCUUGUGUCUUUGGCAAUUAUAUAUGUACUGAUGUGCUUUCUUUUUUAAUAUAUGCUUCUUCUGAUAGUUCUUUGUCUCUUUCCUUUUAUAUACACUAGACUCUAAAAAUUGUGAGGGAAAGAUCCUUGUCCUUUUAUUUACUAAGGUGAUACCAACACUUCUCACAUGUCUGCCACCAGAGACACUUCAUAAACAUGACUGAAUACAUGAAUGAAUGUGAAAGCAUCUUGAAGUAAAUGGCCUCCAGGAAGAGGGGCUACAAGGGCAAGGCAGGUAGUUAGGACACCAUCCUGGAAGGCUGGACUUCAGAUGAAGACAUCCCUCCCAGCUUAUGAUCUAAAAUAGAGGUCAUUGGCUCAAGUCCAGACCAGGAAGACUAGGCUAU